CGCCUGUUUAUCAAAAACAUCUCUUCUCGUUAGUUUUUGAAGUAUGGCCUGCCCACUGACCUUGAAUGUUGAAGGGCCGCGGUAUUUUGACCGUGCAAAGGUAGCAUAGUCAUUAGUUCUUUAAUUGUGAUCUGGUAUGAAUGGCUUGACGAGGCAUAAGCUGUCUUAAUUUUGAAUUGUUUAUUGAAUUUGUUCUUUGAGUUAAAAUUCUUAGAUGUUUUUAUGGGACGAGAAGACCCUAUAGAGUUUGACAUUUAUUAUGGUCUUUUUCUGUUUGUGAGGGUUCACUAGGGCUGUUUAAUAUGUUUUGUUGGGGUGAUGGGAGGGAUAUUAUUUAACCCCUCCUUUGUGUUGUUAUAUUUAUUUAUAUUUGCUUGAUCCAUUUAUUUUGAUUGUAAGAUUAAAUUACCUUAGGGAUAACAGCGUAA
This 428-nucleotide ribosomal RNA is filed under the name Reticulitermes flavipes (eastern subterranean termite). RNAcentral's name for it is "partial 16S ribosomal RNA". The stretch from base 1 to 214 matches the Rfam family "Archaeal large subunit ribosomal RNA", at positions 1889 to 2143 of the family's 2987-position model. The record is from RNAcentral. Lineage: Eukaryota; Metazoa; Arthropoda; Insecta; Blattodea; Rhinotermitidae.